This 481-nucleotide ribosomal RNA is filed under the name uncultured bacterium. RNAcentral describes it as "bacterial SSU rRNA". It matches the Rfam family "Bacterial small subunit ribosomal RNA", at positions 9 to 507 of the family's 1533-position model. The record is from RNAcentral.
AGAUUUGAUCAUGGCUCAGGAUGAACGCUGGCGGCGUGCUUAACACAUGCAAGUCGAACGUGAGGGUGCAGCGAUGUGCCUGAAAGUGGCGAACGGGUGAGUAACACGUAGAUGACCUGCCCUGGAGUGGGGAUAACCAUUGGAAACGGUGGCUAAUACCGCAUACAUCCGGAGAACUGGGAAGUUUUCUGGGGAAAGCUCUGGUGCUUCAGGAGGGGUCUGCGUCCGAUUAGCUAGUUGGUGGGUAAAGGCUCACCAAGGCGACGAUCGGUAGCUGGUCUGAGAGGACGAUCAGCCACACGGGAACUGAGACACGGUCCCGACUCCUACGGGGGGCGAGCAGUGAGGAAUAUUGGGCAAUGGGCGGGAAGCCUGACCCAGCAACGCCGCGUGGAGGAAGACGGCCUUCGGGUUGUAAACUCCUUUUGUACGGGGAAGAGAGAGGACGGUACCCGUCGAAUAAGUCACGGCUAACUACGUG